This 1218-nucleotide ribosomal RNA is filed under the name Staphylococcus aureus. Its description in RNAcentral is "bacterial SSU rRNA". It matches the Rfam family "Bacterial small subunit ribosomal RNA", at positions 1 to 1200 of the family's 1533-position model. The record is from RNAcentral. Lineage: Bacteria; Bacillati; Bacillota; Bacilli; Caryophanales; Staphylococcaceae.
UUUAUGGAGAGUUUGAUCCUGGCUCAGGAUGAACGCUGGCGGCGUGCCUAAUACAUGCAAGUCGAGCGAACGGACGAGAAGCUUGCUUCUCUGAUGUUAGCGGCGGACGGGUGAGUAACACGUGGAUAACCUACCUAUAAGACUGGGAUAACUUCGGGAAACCGGAGCUAAUACCGGAUAAUAUUUUGAACCGCAUGGUUCAAAAGUGAAAGACGGUCUUGCUGUCACUUAUAGAUGGAUCCGCGCUGCAUUAGCUAGUUGGUAAGGUAACGGCUUACCAAGGCAACGAUGCAUAGCCGACCUGAGAGGGUGAUCGGCCACACUGGAACUGAGACACGGUCCAGACUCCUACGGGAGGCAGCAGUAGGGAAUCUUCCGCAAUGGGCGAAAGCCUGACGGAGCAACGCCGCGUGAGUGAUGAAGGUCUUCGGAUCGUAAAACUCUGUUAUUAGGGAAGAACAUAUGUGUAAGUAACUGUGCACAUCUUGACGGUACCUAAUCAGAAAGCCACGGCUAACUACGUGCCAGCAGCCGCGGUAAUACGUAGGUGGCAAGCGUUAUCCGGAAUUAUUGGGCGUAAAGCGCGCGUAGGCGGUUUUUUAAGUCUGAUGUGAAAGCCCACGGCUCAACCGUGGAGGGUCAUUGGAAACUGGAAAACUUGAGUGCAGAAGAGGAAAGUGGAAUUCCAUGUGUAGCGGUGAAAUGCGCAGAGAUAUGGAGGAACACCAGUGGCGAAGGCGACUUUCUGGUCUGUAACUGACGCUGAUGUGCGAAAGCGUGGGGAUCAAACAGGAUUAGAUACCCUGGUAGUCCACGCCGUAAACGAUGAGUGCUAAGUGUUAGGGGGUUUCCGCCCCUUAGUGCUGCAGCUAACGCAUUAAGCACUCCGCCUGGGGAGUACGACCGCAAGGUUGAAACUCAAAGGAAUUGACGGGGACCCGCACAAGCGGUGGAGCAUGUGGUUUAAUUCGAAGCAACGCGAAGAACCUUACCAAAUCUUGACAUCCUUUGACAACUCUAGAGAUAGAGCCUUCCCCUUCGGGGGACAAAGUGACAGGUGGUGCAUGGUUGUCGUCAGCUCGUGUCGUGAGAUGUUGGGUUAAGUCCCGCAACGAGCGCAACCCUUAAGCUUAGUUGCCAUCAUUAAGUUGGGCACUCUAAGUUGACUGCCGGUGACAAACCGGAGGAAGGUGGGGAUGACGUCAAAUCAUCAUGCCC